Molecule: long non-coding RNA, 22145 nt
Organism: Monodelphis domestica (gray short-tailed opossum)
Lineage: Eukaryota; Metazoa; Chordata; Mammalia; Didelphimorphia; Didelphidae
Source: RefSeq, a predicted model, not a curated record
GUCCAGGGCCGGCGGGCGGGCGGAGCGAGCCUCCGGCCCCAGGCUGCCCCGGAGCUGCCGGGGUCUGGCUGGACUGGGCCGGGCCGGGCCUCGGGGCUGCGGCCCCCUGCUCCCAGGGCGGGGCCGGAGAGCGGAGGUGGGGGGGCCCAGGCAGGGGACGGCUGCUGCUGCCAGGGCACAAAGGGCGAGGACCCGAGGCAGGAGGGUGGGGAUGGGGGGGGGUGGGAACUGUCGGGAGACCCGAAGCCUGGAGGAAUCAGGCUGGGGCGGGGGUAGGGGUGUGGAGGAGUGAGCGGAGGCUAGAGGUCCAGCGGCACCAACACCCCAACACCCACACCUGCUUUCUGAGAGACCAGAAACCGCCACCACCACCCCCCCCCAUGCCCGCAAGAUCUCUCAGCCCUACUUAAGAUUGUUGCUCUUGGGGAGAGAAGAGGAAAGGGAAGGAGGGGGCUAAGGAGAAGGGGGGAUGGGGGAGAAAGGAGGGAAAGGGGAGACGGAAAGAUGGAGAGGAAAUAGAGGGCCAAAGGGGGGGGAGGGGAAAUAGAUGGAGGGAAGGCUGGAGAGGGGCUUAGAGGGGGAAAGGGGAAGGGAGAAUAUGAGAGGGAAGGAAAGAGAGUGCCCAGCUCUAAUCUUAAGCAUUUUGCCAGUUCAGUUUCCCUGAGCUCUAUCCCCACUCCAGAGCUGUCUAAAGAGGUUUGCCGGGGCUCUUGGGGAGAGGCUAGAGGCUAACUCUCAAGUUAGUGCUAGGUCAGGUAGACACCCUUCCCCCAUGCACACCUAAUCAAAGUCUGGGCCAAAGGGGGAGGGGGCUGGAAGAACAGGUAUCUGGAGGGUGCUGGAAGGGGGAAUGGAGGAGGGUUUUGCUCUGUCUUGCCUCCUGCAGGACUGCCCUUGGGGAGAAGGGACAGGGAAGAAGAUGGCACAAUCUCCUAGGGUGGAGCCUUGGAGAUGGCAGUGCUCCGUGGGCACUGGCAGAAUCUCUCCAGUACGUGCUCAUCCACUUAGGCUAGGGGGAACUCUUGCAAAGACGGUUAGAGAGAGGACUGGAGCUGAGAUGGCUCCUAGGCAUGGAGGGAGUGAGGGUGUAGCUAGGAAUGACAAGAGAAGGAAGGAGCCCGAAUUUCCUCAGUUUCAACCCCCCCCCUCUAUUUUGGGACUUCCCCUCCCCCAAUGGGCACCGGGAACUAUUUGAAGUCCGGUUUUACUUUCCUUAAAUUGAGUGGGGGGUGUCGAGGAUGGGAGGAGUUUCGAAAUCUUGGGAAGAAAAUGUUUGUUCGGUUCCCACACCCAGACCAGGUUCCUUCGGCAAAUUUCCUUUGAUCGCGAUGAACUUGAAUCAAAGUCACCCAGGCACUCCAAGCCGGGGAAGCUGGGAACCGGUUCCCCUUAAAAGAAGCAGCGGAGCCCAAGGGGCUGUGCCGCCAGCCUAACUCGGGCAGAAGUGGCUUCUUGGGUAAUCGGCCUCCAAGAACACUGCGGGAGGGGGGUCAGGAAGCCUGGGAAUGGGCAGCUCUUCAGGCAGGUCUCUAAGACCCACACCUGCUGGGGGAUCACAAAGUGCCAGGGGGCCCCGGUGGGCAAGGCUUUUAGAGACUGGAGCUGGGGGGGGGGGAGCCUUAGGCUCCUAGAAGAAAGUUAGGUGGGGGAGGACUGGGGCUGGGGUGGCUGGAGUAGCUGGGCCUUCCUCUCUCCCCUGUCAUUAUGGCUCCUCUGCAGUGUAUUUAUAGUGCCCUGAGGUUUACUUAAAGGAACACGCCCUCCAAAAUCUGCUAUAAAAAGGAAAAAUGGCCCCUUAUUCCAAAGCUCACGUAGCACUUUUAAAGAGACAGGGGCCUUUUUAGAGUCUGCUCAGGCCAGGGUGAAUUUUCAGAUGGGGGAGGGGGCCGUGUCUGAUUCAGCCAGAAAGAUAGCUUCCAUCCCUGGGGGGAGGGGGCAGGCAAUCUGUUCUCUCAUUUCCCCAGCCUCGAUCUUACUCCUUAGUUUUUGUCACAGUUUUCUUGGCUCUCUCAUUCUCCUACCUCUGCUUGGGCGCCCAGACCCACGAAGACACGCUGACGUAGCCGGAUGGACAUGUUAACUCAGACACACAUAGAGAGCCGGACCCAACACUCACACCAACUCAGCGGGCACCGAGGGAAGGCGCCGGGGAGCCAUAGGUGAAAUAAUGCCUCCUGACACAUGGCUAAAUGAAAAAAGGCUCCCUGCCCUCAGGAGGGCCACAGCCCCGAGCUGGGAGACGCUGACGGGGAAUGGAUUCUGGACUCCUGACGCGUCUCGCAAGAGCUGGGAGGUAGAGUGGGCGUGGAGCCCUCGCUCGGGAUAAGUCUGGGGAGAUAGACUGAGUCACACAGGGCUGGCACAGGCAUGUGGCAGCAGCCCGCAGGCGUGGGAGCUCCUACACCUAAAUACAGUCAAUAAGACCAUGAAGACGGUCGCCAGCCUCAACAUAGAGACCCGAGACACUGUCAUUUAGGGAUGUACACACAGAACCACCACCAGGACACACACACACCGUUAUAAACCCUCAAGUGCUGAGACAUGGUGGGAGUAGCGACAAAGCAGCUUAGUUUCAUGGGUGAUAUGCUGAUGAUGGGCCUCCUGCAGCCCCAGCCUCUUCAAAGAUGACCCUCAGGGGUGGAGGAGGGAGAGAGGGCUCAGCUCCUUCCCUGGUGCCUCCCUGGGGUCCUAGCUGAGGCUGCAGAAGGGGGAUAGCUCAUCCCACCCACCAAACUCCCCUCUGGGGGAGCCAGGGUGGAAAAGAAGGACCUGGUGGGUUUUCCCUUCCUGCUAAGGGAGCCUCCAUUUCCCCCUGUUCUGUGUUAAGGAAAAAUGUCCAAGAUGGAUAAUGGAAAGUCUGGUCUCUACUUUGGGGCUUCCCUCCCCUUGCAGGCACACUCCCCCCCUCCCUCCUGAAUUCAGAGGGAUGAAAGGCUGGAGGAAGGAGGCAGCUAGUGGGAGUGGGGCUGGGGCCUGCCAGGGGCUGCUGGUAACCUGAGAGGCUGAGGAGCAGGUGUCAAGGAAAUGAGAAGCCGCCAGCUCUGUCUAGACAGCCACGGACCAUUAACAGCUCUUCCUCAGCAAACCUCCCCCACCCGGGCCAGCAUCCACAUGGGGGCGACCCCUGCCCGGCCCUCCUCCGUCACUCCCCCCACAAUGGGCCCUUUGUCUGCCUCCAGACUCUCCCAUACACGGAGGCUCCCGGAGAGACCCAGGUACCCCCCCCCCCCAAACUGUGCCGACACUGGCACAGACACAAACAUGAUGAUUCCCAGCCACAAACAAAAUACUUUUGCUCCGUCUCACAGCAAGAUGCCAGACACCAUCUAUUGCCCGCAUCUCUCCCUCUGCCUCUGACCUCUGCCCUUUCUCCCGGCCCCUCCCCCACCUUGCUCUUCAACUUGGUGGCUGAGCCGCCGCCAUGGGUUCCCCCUCCAUCUGUGGCCUCAGGCACAGCCAUGUUUCUUGCUCUCACCUCUGACCCCUGAAUCCCAAGCCCUUCGCAGCUGUCCCCUCCCCACGCUAGGCCCUAGAGUUGGUCUUUGACCCCCAACUGGGCUCCCUGGGCCUUGGAGGCUGGAAAUGAGAAAACAGACUCCCACUGGGGCCCUCCUCCUUCCUGCCGCCAGGGCCGGACCUCCAGACGGGCAGAUUUCAGACCAAGCUGCGGAGGGGGGACGCUCCCAAGUAACUUUCUGUUCCCUAUACCAGCCUCUGUUUCCUGUCUCCUUCCCCUGCAAUUGUCCCAUCUCAGGCCAAAGGGGUUUCUUUUUUGUCUGAGGCAGAAAGGACAGAGCCUAAGGAAGCUGGAGCAGGUAGGGCAGCGGGGAGCUGAGCAGCCAGACGUGAGGGCAUAGUCGGAGCGGGCAGAGAGCCAGACAGCUGUAGUGGACAGAUGGACCUAGGACUUCUUGCCAGGUGGCACAGGAGCAGGCUUGGGAAAGGUGGGCCACCCCCAGCCCCACCAGCCCGCACUGUAAACGGCAUAAAGCCACCCAGUCCGGCCUGCCCUCUCUGACCAUAGCACUGGCAGUGGAAGGAGGGAGGGAAUGAUUAGAGACCCAGGAGAGAAUUCCCUCUCUGCCUUUCUGACCCUAGCUGGUCCCUGACUCUGAAAAGAAGGAAAGAGGGAGGUCAGAAAAGGCCUUUCCGCCCUGUCCCUGACCCUUCCAUUUCUCCUUCCUCUUGGGCCCCUGCCAUCUCCUUCCCAGCCCCCUCCCCUAGAGGAUCCAGGCCGUCUAGAGCCAGUGGAAGGGCGCCUGCACCUCAGCUGGGGCCAGCCUUGUUCACUCUAGCCCUUAUCUAGGGGCCUGGGAAGGUUUCCCUUUGCCCGUCCCUCCCCCACCUUCCUUUAUCUCUUUGCCAUAUCAUUACGGGGCUCCCCCUACUACUGCUGUUCUCCCUGGCUCAGAGCGGCUAGAGAUUGGCUUCCUCCACCCAGGCCCAGAUAAAGGCUUUCCUUUCUCCUUUGCUUUCAGCCCAGGGGAUCUCCUCGGUGCCAGGACUGAGGACCGCAUUCCUCCCUUCCACUAGCGCUGUGGAGAAGGAGCCGCCAGGAGUAGGCCGGAGGCUUUGGAAAUGACCAGAUCCAGGGUGCUUCUGCUGGAGCCCAGGGGAUGCCAAAUUCAGAGAAGAUGGGAAGAAAUUCUUUACUAGAGAGGUGAAGCAUCUGCCAGAGGGGACGGGUAAGUGGUGGCAGGGAAGCCUUUGCUCACUGUAUUCUACCUCUCCUCUCUCCUGGCCAGGGAUCCUGCUCUUAGAGGGGACCCUCCCUGAGGGCAGUCCUGCCUCCUUUAGGGGUAAGGCAGGCGACCUUCAGUCAGUUCUGACUCCCAAAGGCCAGGAAUCAAUGGGGAAUGAUUCCGUACCCCAGAAUAAACCCCCUUCACCCCCCUGAAUCAUCAAGUAUUUCUGGUGCCUGCUGUGUGCUCCCAACUCUAAGUCUUGGAAGGAUAUCUAAGAGAUAUUGUGGUUGGUGAUUUCAACCUCACUCUAAUUGGGAAAUCAAGUACAUAAAAUGACAGCUAGUAUGAUUCUAUGUAGGGGCAGCUAGGUGGCACAAUGACAGUGCCAGGCUGAAAUCAAGAGGCCUUGGGUUCAAAUCAGGCCUCAGACAUGUCUUUGUUGUGUGACCCUGGGCAAGUCACUUAACCCCACUUUCCUAGACCUUCCUGCUCCUCUAUCUUAGAAUCAGCACCGGGGCAGAAGGUAAGGUGCUGUGUUUUUUUUAAAGACCAUGUAAAGUUACAGGGGUGGGAAAGGUGCUGGAAGAGCUCUUAGGAGAACUAGUACUGUUGGAAGAGCCCUGAUUUUGGAAUCAAAGGACCAGAUGGCAAAUCAUUUAACCUCUUUGAGCCUCAGUUUACUCAUCUGCAAAAUUAGAAUGUUGGUCUAGAUGAUUGCUGAGGAUUCUCUUGGCUCUGAAUCUGUGUUCGCGUGAACCAGGGGUGGUUAGGGAAGACUUCUCGAAAGAAGACUGAGGUUGAGUUAAGGAAGGAGGAAAAGAACUUCCAGACCCCAAAGGAACAAAAUGAGGAUAAGCAGGGAGAGGGUGCUGGCCUAGAUUGCUCAGAGCCUUCCAAGUAAUUUGUUAUCACAGAACUAUUAGAAUUGGAAGGGAUGUCAGAGAUAUUUUUGUCCCACUCAUUCAUCUUACAGAUGAGAAAAUGGUAUGGUAAGAGGUGAAGGGACGGAAAGGCAGGACCUUUCCCAAACCUCUUCCUUAAACUGGGCCCUGGAAUGUGUCUGUAGCAAGAGAUGACUCUUCUCCCAGCCUGUGGCUUCCGAUAACUAACCUCCUACUUGGCCCUGGUGGGAACUUGUCUAUCUCCCCUCCAGUGUCCAGACUUCUCGGGAAUUGAAUGCCCAGCACUUGGCCAGAUGCUGAAGGGAAUUCAGAGAUCUCCAUGACAUGAUCCCCAGCCUCCACGAGGCAGUUUCAGCUCAAGGGAAUGUAUGAAUGUGCCCCAAAUGUGGGUGGUAUAAUCAGUAAAUCCUGAAAAAGCUCAGAGAAAUGGGGAGAUUGGGGAGGGCUGAUCAGGGAAAGCUUCUUGGAAGAGCUGUGUACUAUGCAACAUUAUUGAACUCUUUUCUGGAUUCCUUAUCCAACCUGAUUUGAAGUCCUUUGAGGACUAGGACUGUUUUCUACUUUUCAUGGCUCUCCUUCUGUAAUAAGAGAAGUACAGAAUUCUAGCGCUAGGAAGGCCCUCACUAGUUUCAAAUCCAUCCUUCACCUGAACAGGAAUUUUUUGAGAAAUGGUGGUCAGCCUCUACCUGAAGACCUUUGGUGAAGAAUAAAUCACUCCCUGCUCAGGUAGGCCAUUCCACUUUAGACAACUCUUAAUUGUUCCAGGUUUUUCCUUAUGGCAAACCUAAAUUUGCCUUUCUGUCCUCUGGGGUCAAAUAGAACAAAUCCAGUCCCUUUUUUACAUGACAUGAGAGAGAGGUCUGAUACAGAGAUACUGAAGAAAGCUAGCAUAUUUUCCCCAAAUCAUUUCUUCUUUUUCCAGGCAAAGCAUCCUUAGUUUCUUCAACUGGUCCCCAUGUGGCAUGGUUCCAUGUCCUCUUCCCAUUUUGACACUGCCCCUUUCUUUUUUCUUCCUUUUUUAAAAAAUCCUUACCGUCUGUCUUAGAAUGAAUAUAGAAUAAGAUAGAAGAGCAGUAAGGGCUAGGCAAUGUGGGUUAAGUGACUUGCCCAGAGUCACACGGCUAAGAAGUGUCUGAGGCCACAUUUGAACCCUUGAUCUCCCAACUCCAGGCCCACCUCUCUAUCCAUUGAGCCAUUGAGCUGCCCUGAUACUGUCCUUUCUAAAGUAUAGUGCCAAAGUACAAUACCCAAAAUAAGGCGUGCCCAAGGCCAAGUAUAAAAGGGCUGCCUCUUCCAUCAUUUUGGACUUGCUGCUUCUGUUAAUGCAGCCUCAAGUUUUCUUACUCACUCAUAGGAUGGAUAAUAGGUGAGCUGGAAGGACCUUGGAGACCACGUAGUACAAACCUCCCAUUUUACAAAUGAGAAAACCGAGUUAUAGUCACAAAUAGUGACAGAGAAAUGAUUUGAUUGCAGUUCCUUUGACUCCCUUAGAUUUAGAAUCAGAGGGCCUCGACUCAAUUCUAAAUUCUGUAGCCUUGACUUGACUAUGGGUAAACUUCUUUCCCUCCAGGAGGCUCAGUGCCCUAAUUUGUAGAAUGGAAGAGAAGAAUAAAAUCUGGGAUAAAAGGAAAAAACAAAACUCUUACCUUCCACCUUAGAAUCAAUACUGUGUAUUGUUCCCAGGCAGAAAAGCAGUAAAGGGCUAGACUAUGGGAGUUAAGUAACUUGCCCAGGAAGUGUCUAAGGUUUUGGAGGAGAUAAUUGUUUUCAUUUCACCAGUUUCCUUUGUAAUUCUGUGUGUUUUAUUUUGUGCAUUUAAAAAAUAUUCUUCUGAGAAGACAGACUGCCAAAGAGGCACACGCAAAGGUUAAGAACCCUUGGAUUAGGUGGUCUCUGAGGUCCCUUACAACUCUGAACUCUGUGAUUCUAAGAUGGAUAGAUAGGUCUCUGUAAUACUACAUUCCAUUCAUCAUCACAAUUUUCUCCAGUUCUCCAAUCCAGAUAUGCUGUAUCUUUACAUUUUUAUCUACAAGGCUAUCUUGAGAAACAAUAAGAAUUCUUGUCAAAAUCUCUGACUUCCCUGAUCCAAUAAUUCAGAUUACUCAAAUGGUUCCAUGAUCUCAUCCAUUUCUGUGUCCCUUCCUAAACUGAAAAUCACAAUCCGGUCCUUGUCUGCCUUUGCCAGUUCUCUCCAGUUCUACCUAACCUGCUAGAGGCUUCCUGACUUCUAACAUCAGAAGGAUACCAGAUCCACACUUGAGCUGUCCACCCUUCAUCCUUUGUCCUGCCCUUGGAACUAGCCCACCUUUUUGUUUUUGUUUUUAAACCCCGACCUUCCACUUUGGAAUUAAUACUGUGUAUUGGUUAUAAGGCAGAAGAGCAGUAAGGGCUAGGCAAUAGGGGUUAAGUGACUUUCCCAGGGUCACACAGCUGGGAAGUGUCUGAAACCCCAUUUGACCCCAGGACCUCCCCUCUUUGGGUCAGGCUCUCAAUGCACUGAGCCACCCAGCUGCCCCCAGCCCAUCUUUUUUUCCCCCUGCAAUAAUACUUUUUUUACUCCUGUUUUUCAAAAUUCCUCAUUUACUAUAUUUCAUAUUACUCAGAGUAUGACCUCUGUUGUCCUUUGUGGUCAUCAUUUUCGAUUUUUCAGAAACUGUUGGGUUCAGCCUCCUACAGCCAUAAACAUGGAGCUCUGCAACUUCCCAAAGGUAAGGCAGCCUCCUCUUUUCUACACGUUGAAUUCUAGGGCUAAUAACUCUUGUCCAUCUGGGCCUCUGUCCCACAUGAGUAUGUGUAUGCCCACACAUAUGUAUAGACAUGUACAUAUAUGUAUACACACAUGCAGGUGCAUAGUGCUGAAAUCAGUACCCUGGUUAUACAUGUACACAUCCACGGUGAUGACUCAUACACACAGUGAUGGAACGCCCAUCUAACAGCACAUUACAUAUCAUCUGAGCGAUAGAUAUUCUUUACUCACUUGAUUUUCCCUGUGUGGAUGGUCAAGCCCACCUCCCUGCCAGGAGGUAAAGUCCUCUGCAACCCGCAGGGACCUGAAUGCAGCGAGCACAAUGUCCUGGCCAAAAGAAGAAUCCCCCAAUCUACGGGGAACUGGUCUUCAACUAGGAUUCUGUGCUAGAUCUUGACGGCAGCGACAGACAUCUUUAGUGAGAUCCAUUUUCCUGUCUGAUGUUUGUGAUCAGGUUAUUUAGACAGUAAACAAGUCUCUCUGUUGCUUUAUCUUUCAAGGGAUCUUCACUGAUUUGGAUGGAUGGAUGGGAUUCCCCUUGGUGGAAAUAGGUCCCUUAAGGUGAAAUAUUUCUUAGCUCCACAAACAAUGACAGUGGAUGCUUUUAUUAGCCCUAUUUUUCAGGCAAUUGUCUAACUUGGCUACCUUCCCCAUCCUUGUUCUCUUUAGUGCUCCCUCCUGUAAAAGCAGAUCUAGAACUGAAUCCAUUGUCCUUUAGGGUAUUUGUUUCAAAAUUUCAUUAUAAAAACCUUUGCAGAGCAUUCCCAUUUUUCUUGUGUGUACAGCCUUUUCCAUUUUAAUCCCCAAACACCCUUGUGAUGACUUGGUUUAGUUGGGUCUCUCACCAAGCUUUCUUUCAACUGGUUUGAUUCUCCACUGCUUCUCUCUGCUUUACGGAGUGAGAGGACUCCUCCUCAUCCAUGAAGAUCUUGCAGACUACUUCGUAUUUAAACGGGGGUUGCCUUUGCUGGCCAUCUCCCUCCCUGCUUGGCAAGGAAGCCAGGCACUUGCUCACUUGGGCACUUUUUAGACUAUUUUGGUCUCAUGAUAGCAAUUGAUUUACACGCAGCUAAACGUCUGUAUAGAAUGAUCAUAUUUGUACCUGAUGACAAAUUUCUUGUUCAUUAUUCGCUUCUCAUUACCAAGAAUUUUUCUGAUCUUUUGUUAUAUGCCAUAUCUUUCCCUCAUUUUUCCUUUCUUGUAGCUUUUUACUAAUUCUGAUCAUCAUUUCUCUAACAAGUCGGCAGAGAGCUGACUCAGGGGUGACGUCACAUCAAUACCAAAUCUUUUAUUAUCUUGUUAAAAUGGAAUCAAUUUCAUUUUUUAAAAUUAGGUUCCUUGGAAAGCACCACGUGCCAGCUUGCUCUUUUUGUUGUAAAAGUAUUCUUGGAAUAGAAGCCUGAGGCUUCUGGGUAGCCUCUAUGUAUCUUUAAAUUCCCCCAUUCCUUACUCUUGAACCAUGCUUCCUAAUCUAAUUCUCUCCAUUCUCACCCAUUGCUGCCCUUGCAUUGAAGCUACCAAGUAUUAAAGCAUUUGCUGUUUUCCAUUUGGAGAGUUUUCUUGUCUACCUCUUCAUUCUCUGCAGCCAGACUUUCCUGAGAAGCUACGACUAUCUCUGUACCGGUCUUUUUGCAAGUACUUACCAUGAACACCGGCUUACAAGACGACCAAAUAUCCAGGGAAAGGACAGAUUUUGUUGCCUUUGAGCAUAUGAUAAAACCAACUCCCACAACUUCCUCUGUGGCCUAUCGGAGGGUAUGUGAGCUGUCCUUCCAGCUAAUGACAACUUCCUUUUUUCCUAUUGUUGUUGUUUUUUAAUAGAAAGAAUGUCAAGAUUAAUAGGAUUUAGCUCCUUCAGGAGCCUGUCCACUUGCUGAGUGCUGGACAAGAAUCUUACAAUUAGAACACCAGCAGUCAAGGUAAAGUUUAUGGUUGGUCUAAAACUGUAUCAGUUCCAAGGCAGAAGAGUGGUAAGGACUAGGCAAUGGGGGUGAAGUGACUUGCCCAGGGUCACACAGCUAGGAAGUGUCUGAGGUCACAUUUGAACCCAGAGGCUCCCAUUUCUAGACCUGGCUCUCAAUCCACUGAACUACCCAACUGCCCCCCUGGGUAUCCACAUUUAACACUGGAGUUCACAGUUCCCAUUGUUGCACUUCCCCUUAACAGUCUGCCAGUAGACAAAAUUAGCUUUUCAGUUUCAGUCAUUUACUUGUUCACCCUCCUAACCCUCUUAACUUUAAUUAAAAAAGAGAAAAAGAAAAAAGAAAAACAAAACCCUUGUAACAAUUGUAGUGAAGCCAAAAAAAGUUUUCAUAUUGGCCAUGUGCAAAAAUGUGUUUCUCAUUCUGUCCCUUAUUCCCCGACUUCUCUGUUGUGCAGUAGGCAGCAUUCGUAACCAUCCAUCCUGGGGAGACUUGUAUAGCCUGAUGCAGAAGGAAGUGAGCUGAGCCAGGAAAAACAAUUUAUAUCUAACAUCAACACUGUAAAGACCAUUUUGAAAGACUUAAGAACUCUUAUUGAUGCAAUGAUCAAUCAUGAUUAUAGAGAAUUGAUUAGAAUCUAGGUUUGAUUCUCUAUCCACUGAGCCCUCACUGUCUUCUUUUUGAAAACAGAAGAGUCAGACCUAGUGAUGGGAGGUCCUGGGUUCAAAUGUGGCCUCUGACACUUCCUAGCUAUGUGACCCUGGGCAAGUUGCUUAACCUCCAUUACCUAACCUGUAUUGCUCUUCUGUCUUGGAACCAAUAUACAGUAUUGAUACUAAGGCAGAAAAUAAGGGUUUUUAAAUUUAUUUUAUUUUUAAGGUUUUUUUUUUUAAGAAAGAAGAGAGGAAGGAAGUAAAGAAAGGGAGGAAGGGAGAAAGAAAGUAUACAAGUAAGAAAGUAGGAAAGAAAGAAAGGAAGUGAGGAGAGAAAGAGAGGGAGGAGAGAAGAAAGAAAAUAGAACGAUCAAUUCGUGCCUAAAACAUCACUCCCACUUUCCACAAUUUUUUAAAGAGCACCCAUAACUGCUCAGCAGUCAUAAUGUCCAAUUCUGUCAGUCUCCUGUGACAUUCAGCUGUAAUAACUUGAAUACACACCAAGAGCAGCUGGGGACUCAUUCUACCAUCACCACAUUUGUUCUGGCUUUCAGUUGCUCCACAGAGUUCCACUUUGGUGCCUCACUUGGAUCUGACGGGGACCGUGGAUUUUCCAAGGCUUUGCCAGCCAAUUACAAGCUUUAUAAUAAUAGCUAAUAUUUAUGUAGCGUUUUAAGAUUUACAGUGUGCCUUAUAUACAGUUUCACAUUAGAUUCUCAACUCUGUGAAGUAGGUGCUAUUAUUGCUCUUGUUUUAAAGAUAAGGACAUUGAGGUUUAAAAGUGAAGUGAUUUGCCCAAGGUGAUACAAUUACUAUGUCUGAGGGAAGAUUCAAAUUCAGUUCUUCUUUUUUCUUUUUUUAAACCCUAUCUUCUAUCUUAGAACCAAUACUAAGUAUCAGUUCCAAGGUAGAACAGUAAGGAUUGGGAUUAAGUGAUUUACUCAUGGUGUCACUGCUAGAAAGUAUCUGAGACCAGAUUUGAACCCAUGUCCUCUUGAGUCUGAGCCUGGAGCUCUAUCCACUGUGCUACCUAGCUAUUCCAAAGCUGGAUCUUCUUGUCUAUAUAAGUCCAGCACUCUACUAUAUCCUAGGCUGUCUACCAUGUUGGAAAGCCUUCUAAUAGAAUGCCAUUCAUAUGCUAUUUCUGAUUUGGGAUCAGCCUAGCUAAGGAUAGAAGGCUCCUCACCAGGUGACUGGCUGCUAGGUGAUGAAUAUUUGGCAAUGCAGGAAACAAAGAGUCAAAACAGAGAAGUCCUGGUGGCACCCAUCCAUUUCUGCAGAAAUGGCAUCAGCGUGGCAGCAAAGGGGGCAGGAAGUGUCAAUCCCAGUUUUUAGAUACUGUGAACAUAAUCUUAGCUUGUAGAUUGGCAUAGAAGCCUCAUAACUACAUAUCAGGGAAUACUGUUGUUGUUUUUCCCCUUUGAUGUUUUUAAAAUAAUAUGCUUUCUUGAUAUUUUGCAUUUUUUAUAUCUCAAUCAAUCCUGGAUUAAUAUCCUGUUCCUACUCCCAGAAAGCCUUCCUUUCUCACAAAUAGUUGAGCAAAACAAAGUACCUUAGUGAUAAUAUAUGCAAAAUUCUCCACUAAUCCUUCACCUCUCUACCUAAUUUUUAUUCAAAAAAAGGAGGGAUUCUGGAAAUGGGGAUUACCAAAUUGUAUCCCCCAAAAGGCUGAUUAAAUCCUAACAGAUAUAAUCUGCUACUGAUGUGGGAGAGUCAUUUCUGAAUCAGCUGAUUAUAGUGAGACCACCAGACUCUUAGAGCAAAUAAUGCAAUGACAAAUUAGUUGAACAAAAAUGAGAAGCUAUGGCAUAUAGUUGAAAAAAUCCAAACUUGACUUAUUUAAACAAACAGUGGAGGCUGAUAAAUGAGAAAUGGACAAAAGAACAGAUAUCAAUAAAGACAAUGACCAUUUCCCAUGUUAAUAUACAUCGAUCACUAUAACAAGGUGACCAUGAGAACCUUGACUGCCUCAGCCAACAAUACCAUUAUCUCCUUGCCAAACAGAGAAGUAGCAGCCAAGGGCAAAACUGUUUCAGUAUAUAAACUUGUUUAUAUACUAUUAUAAAGAAGAAGGGUAGAAAAUUAUGAACACUAUUAUCUCUUUGUUUAUGCUUUUUAAUAAAAACCCUUAUCUCCAAGCUUGGAAUCAAUGGGAUUAAGUCUAGAGAAGACUCUGGGCAGCUUGGAAGUUGUCUGAGACCAAAUUUGAACCCAGGACCUCCCCUCUCCAGGCCAGGUUCUCUAUCCACUGAGCUUCUUCACUAUCAUCUCUUAAUAGUGGGAAUCAAGGGGGCAGCUGGGUGGCUCAGUGGAUUGAGAGCCAGGCCUAGAGAUGGGAAGUCCUAGGUUCAAAUCUGGUCUCAUUCACUUCCCAGCUGUGUGACCCUGGGCAAGUCACUUGACCCCCAUUGCCUAGCCCUUUACCACUCUUCUGCCUUGGAGACAAUACACAAUAUUGAUUCCAAGAGGGAAGGUAAGGGUUAAAAAAAAAAGUGGGAAUUAAUAGAAAGGAAAAUAGUUUCAUAGAAAGAUUGCUGAGAGAUCCAGUUAAGCUAGAUCAUACCCAAACUGGAAGUAUAAUAAAUAGUAGAAAGAAUUCCAGAGCCAUUGGACCUGAGUUCAAAUCCCACAUCUGACCCUACCUAUAUGAUGUUAGGCAAAUCUCUUGGCAUCUUUGGCCUCAGUUUCCUCCUUUAUAAAAUGAAAAAUGAAGAAAUGAGACUAAAAAAACUGGUGAGGUCCUUUCUAGCUCUAGAUGUAUGAUUCCUUAUUCUCUGAUCCUCUGAAAAAAUGGGAAAGAUCUGUUAGGAUUUCUAAAAUAAACUUUCUCCAUCUAUGUCAGUGAAGUCACUACAUUUGUACUCAACAUCAUAGACCCUGUGUUCUACAUAAGGAAGUAGAAAUAACAGACAAGAAAGAAGAGCAUGUAGAUCUGUAGAGAGGAAGUCCAUGCUAGAGAUGACAAAUGUUGAAAGGACUGAGAGGUCAGUUCUCAAGAUACAUAAAAGAUAAGAGAAGACCAGACUUUUAUUUCUUAAAAACCUUUACCUUCCAUUUUAGAAUCAAAACUAAGUAUCAUUUUCAAAGUAACAAGGGCUAGGCAAUUGAGGUUAAGUGACUUGCCCAAGGUCCCACAGCUAGGAAGUAUCUAAGGCUACAUUUGAACCCAGGAUCUUCUGAGCCACUUAGCUAUCCCACUUGGCUGUUUUUUUUUUUAAAUAAGAUUGCUCCCAUAUGUGUGUUAAAAGUCAUACAAGCAAAGUGUCUAUCCUUUGAUUAUUACUAUCAGGAAGGCAUACAACAGGGAGAUGUAUACUUCUGAAAAAUAUUUGCUAUUGGGACUCAGAGGAUAGAAUACGAGGUAUAAAGAUGGGAGUUCAAAUCCGGUCUCAGUUGUAUAAUCCCAAUUGGCUGGCCUUUACUGCUCUUCUGCCUUGGAACCAAAACUUAAUAUGGCGUCUAAGACAGAAAGCAAGGGUUUAAAUAAAAUAUCUGCCACAAUCAUAGAGGAUAUUCAAUUCAGAAUUUAAACAAAAGAGAGAUUCCCUGCAUGGAUGUUAUUGUGCUGAUUAUAUCAAACCCAGGAACAUUGUAGAGCUUCAGAAAUGAGACCACUCAAAAAAAUUGGGCCUAACUAUUCACGGAGGAAAAACAAAGUGGAUAAAGAAUGUCUUUUGUCCAAAUGGCAGUGGGGGAAAAAAGCGGGUCCACCAGUCCAAUUAUAUCAGACGGACAAUAAGGCUAAUAGGACAAGCUACACUACGUUUGGAAAAUUAAGCAAUGGUUUUUAAGGAUCCCCAGCUUUUUUUCUAAAAGAAAGCUUCAUAUUUUUUACAGUAAUAAUCUUCCUGUGAUGGUGUCUGGCUGUGAAUUACAAUCUCUGAAGUAAUAAAGUUUCAGGUCAUCUAAAAGGCAAUGGAUAAACCACACGGUAAGUAGGAGCAGCCAACAACAUUUCACCCAUGAUGAAUUAUUCAGGAGUCACCAGAAAAGGAAGUAGACCAGUUUAGGGUGUGAGGAAGGGAUAACUGAUGGCUGGCUUAUAUGCUCUACUCAAAAGCAAGACAUCUCCAGGAAAGCCCCUAGCACACUGGAUGGAGGGGGUGUGGGCAAAAUUUACGAAAGGAUGUAGGUAAGAAUCCACACAAAGUCAUAAAAGACAUUGAUGGGUUGUUUCUGUACUAUUAGAGGAAACCACCAUGUUCAGCACCAUCUUUAAGAAUUCCUAUGCCGAGGCAAAUCAUUGGGGAUGGAGAUGAAAGGGACUAUAGACAAAUCCACACCAGCCAGGCUUAGACCCCUUCUCCAGCUGAACAUAUAAGGAUAUGAAUCAAAAGUGUGAUUUAAAUCACCGGUCAGAUAUCAGAAAAUGGAUUAUAGAUUAGAGCUAACGUGGUUGCAUAAAAAAUCUCUAGCUUGGGAAACUGGUAAGACCCAGAUUCACUUCUGCUAGGACCAGUCACACAGCUCUUAUUAUAGCUCCAACAACUUAGAUCUCAGAUUCGUGGAGGUCAUUAUUAUGAGCCAGGAGCCCUUUCUCAAUCUAUUUAGUCUAUUUGCAUCCCAUCCUUAAGUUACCUCUUGCCUCCCAUGCGCUGUUUGUUGUUGUUUUUUAAAUCUUUCUCAUUGUCUUUAUUUUUCAUCUUUAUCCUCAGUUUCCCUGGAUAUUUAACCCUAUCAAAGUCGACCUUCUAUGCAGGAUGACUCUUUGUAUUCAUUUGUCUUGCAUAGGGCUCUUCCAUAUCUGUCUUUUUAAAAUCUGAUCUGUGCAAGGCUUGGUCCUUCUCUUUCUCUAUCACCCAUUAGGUCAUAAGGAAGGAAAAAAGGAAGAAAACAAGAUUUAUUAAAUUCCUACUACAUGCCAGGCACUGUGCAAAGAGACAUACAAAUAUUAUCUUAUUUGAUCCUCACAAUAAUUUUGAUUAUUUCUAUAUUAUUUUUGUCCCCAUUCUACAUAUGAGGAAACAGAGUCAAAUAGCUAUUAUUUGCCCAGGGCCACACAGCUAAUAAGUGUUUAAGACUAAACUCAAACUCAGGCCUUUUUGAUUCCAGAUCUAGUAUUCUGUCCACUGCCCUACUUGCCCAUUAAAAUGUUAGCUUCUUGAGGGAAAAAAAAUUUUUUUAAUAAUAAAAUCUGAUCUGUGGGGGGCCGCUAAGUGAUUUAGUGGAUAGAGAGCCAGGCUUUGAGAUAAGAAUACUUCCUAGCUGUGUGACCCUGGGCAAGUCAUCUAACUCCAAUUGCCUAGUCCUUACUGUUUUUUUGCCUUAGAACCAAUAUAUAAUAUAUUGAUUCUAAGAGAAGGGAUUUAAAAAAAACCAAAAACUGAAUUGUGAGUUCUUCAGCACAUCCCCACCACUCCAUUUCUUCCUCAUCAGAAUCCUUUGUGCUGUACAAGAAGCACAACCCCCCCCCUUUUGUUUCCUCCAAUUUUCUCCCCUUAAAAACUUUAUUUCAACUGAAAACUCAUUUUUUCUUUUUCUCUCCUCAUCCCUAUUAGGAAAAAACCAAGAAAGUUGUCCCAUUUCCCCUUUAGGACCUUAGGUCAUGGGGUCCGUUCUGUCAGUUUUUCAGAAUUCCGCCACUCUAUCAUGUACUCCCGAGGGCCAGUAUUCAGUGAAAAUUUGCCGAAUCAGUUAACCAAGCAUUUAUUCCACUCUUGUUCCUGAAUGGUGUUAAGCCAAGUGCCGGUAAAACAAAAAACCAGAAACAGGCCAUAGCCCUUGCGGAGCUUACAUUCUGUCCACAUACAAUGUGGGAUCUGCAGGAGCUGAUUGUUAAAUUCUCAGGGUGAGCAUUUACAUCUCAGAAAUUGGCCGUUGCUAAUAAACCGGGGCUCAAUUCGUCAUUUUGUUGACUAUCUUGGACUUAAGGAAGCGAUGGAGAAAAUGUUCGUAAUUUUAAGUGCUGGGCCUACUCCCCCAGCCAGAGAGCCUGUUGUUAAAUCUUUGCCAGCUCACUUCCCCCUGGCACAGUGGAGUCAGGAAGAAUGCUUUCAGCUCAGAGCAGGGAUGCAGAGCUGGGCGCUGAGGAGGGAGGGUAUCUGGGACCUCCGCCUCCAGCCCCAUCUUCCUGCCUUCGAGGACCUUGCCGCCUGUGACAUGCCAAAGGUUUGGGGGAACAUUCAACGCUGUCGGUGAGUUUGAGCAGCUGAAGGCAAACCAUCGACCGUUGAGUGGACCCCGCAGCCUUAAACGACCAGCUGAUGCCUGCCAAGGAGCCCAAGGCCAGGACCGCAGAGGUCUGGAGUCCCUGCCAAGAAGCAGGGGCUCUCCGUCUACACCACAGGCCAUCGCCUGCCUGUGCAUUUUCUGGGGCCCUUUUCUCAGUUUUGACCCUCAGCGCAUUUUUUCCACACCUCAAAUGUCAUCUGGCUCUCAGAUAACCGUCUCCACUGCGGUCUUCACUGGAUGAAUUCAGGAUGAAUGUCCCGCUUCUGAGCCACACUUCCCCUCCCUCGGUCCUAUUGCCCACCUAAACCAAAGGUCACAAUCAACAUUCAUUGCUGUCGGUGGGUUGUGAGAUCUGAGGAAAAACUCACCGAUGGAUGAAUGUCACUGUGGCUGGGCCAGACCUGGACCUGGAGAGCAGGGUUGGAUGGCUGCACAGGAGGAAGAAAGGGCUCCUCGACCUGGGCCAGAGUCAGAGCCAGGCUCCGUAGCCUGGAACCCACCACAGACUUCUAGCCCAACUUCCCAAGUCUUCUCAACUGUUAAAUGGGGAGAAAAAUCUCACGUGCACGGCUUCUCUGAGUCGCUGCCAGUAUUCCACUAGGAAAUCAUGAUGUACAGACUUUGAAUGGUAUGUUGAAAGAACUGUGUGCAGAAGAUGACAAUGGAGGCAGCACCAUGUAUUAAAAGAAGCCUGGAUUGGCAGUAACAACCAGGAUUCAAAUCACAGCUGUUUCUCGUUCUAGUCCCUUUGUCAGACAAAAAGCAUUUAUUAGGGCAGCUGGGUGGCUCAGUGGAUUGAGAGUCAGGCCCAGAGAGGAGGGGUCCUGGGUUCAAAUCUAGCCACAGACACGUCCUAGCUGUAUGACCCUGGGCAAGUCACUUGACUCCCACUGCCUAGCCCUUACCACUCUUCUGCCUUAGAACCAAUACCUAGUAUUGAUUCUAAGACAGAAGGUGAGGGUUUUAAACAAACAAAAAAACAUAGGUCGAUGAUACAAAGGAAGCCCCCCCCCCAAAAAAAACAGCUUGGCCGUCAAGGGGCUCCCCUUGUAAUGGGGGAGCAACACACCAACUACCACAUACAGUGUAAAAAGGCAAUUUGGGAGAGAUGGGAGUAGAGUGAGGGGAGGCAGGGCAGAAAGGCUCUAAGUGGAGUUUUAGGAGUCUUGAAGGAAGGCCAAGAAAGCCAGGAGGCAGAGACUAGAAGGAGAAUUCCAGGCAUGGGGGACCAAAUCAGGGAGGAACAUUGGAAGGGACAGUUAAAUGUAGGCGAGCACUUCUAGCGGUGUGUCUCUGGGCAAGCCAGUUAACCCUCACUGCCUAGCCCUUACUGCCCUUCUGCCUUGGAAUGGAAAGACAGAAGGCAAAAGUUAAAGAAUAAAACAAAGUAGGAAGGGGCUGGGUUGUGAAUGUUCUGCCCAGGCUCGAGUUGAACCCUCCUCUAUGAAUCCCUGAGCCCUGACAAUAAGGCACUGGGCUACUCUGGAAUCCAGUGUGGCUUCCAAACCCAGUGGCUUGUACCAGUCAGUACCAGCAAUCUCUUCCUCUCCAGAACUCCUGACUCUGCCAUUUCCUUAGCUUCCUGGCUAGCAGAAUUGAGUGUAUGACACCUCUUUCCGCCUUCCACACCACGAAGUGAGACAAUUCUCAAUACCUAACAAAGGGAUUAAAGCUUGGGAGCUCAGGUUGUUUUGUUGGUCUGGUCAUAAACUUCUAAUCUUACCGGGAUGCUGUGGACUGAGAGCAUGCCUUUGUGCCCCAAGAAUGGUUUGGUUUUUUUUUUUUUAAUUCUUACUUUUAAAAUCCUUACAGAGACUGUGUCAGUAUCAUUUCUAAGACGAUGAGGGCUAGGCAAUGGGGGCUAAGUGCCGUGCCCGGGGUCCCCCAGCUGGGAAGUGUCUGAGGGCAGACUUGAACCCGACUCCGCUGUGCUACCUAGCUAGCUCUGGCCCAAGAAUUUCCGAAAGCUAAGCAUGGACUCCGGGGAAGUGAAAUGCACUUGAAUCCUGAGGACAUUCCCAUCCCCAAGUCAUAACAGUAAUUAACUUGGGUUUCCGGGGAGGCUUGAUAUUGACAAAGCCUCGCCAAGAUUUACAGAAGCCCCGUGUAGUCCCACGGUCGGUCCCCUCGGAUGUGGAAAUCGGGAGUGACUUUCCCAGCAUCCCCCAGAAAGAAAGGCUCAAAGUUGGGAUUAGAACCAGGUGUCCGGACUCCCCGGUUUGGGGCAGGCACGAAGGGGAGGGAUGGAUGCACUCACUGGGAAGUUCGAACCUGGAUUUAGCUCCCGAGGCAGGGGCUAAUGUUGGUCCGGGUCUCGCUCCCUGGCAGCAGGCAUGGCUGCGUGCGGUCGGUCUGGUCUGGCCCAAGGAGACAUCUUCCUAGCCUGCUGGGCUCUAUUUAUUUGCUUGAAGCCUCUUCCUUCCAACGAGGCCUGCGCCCCGGGAAGGGAGAGCGUUCCCCCAAUUCUUUCUCCCGCCAUUUGGGCAGCCUCAAGAGCCCCCGCCGCGCCUCUCUGCCUCCUACCUCAGUUAUGAGUUAGCUCGCAAAGGCUUGUGGUGCGGUCCCCACUGCAAAGCGGAGGAGAUUCAACUCCCGAAGGGAGGUGGGAGCUUUGCAGGGGCGAAGCCGAGGGCAGUUACAGUGUAGCCCAGACCGGAGGUGGAAAGCUACACCCGGGCAGCCCACUCUUCAGGGAGGGGGGCGUGGCGGGAGCGGGAGGGGCCGAGAAAUAGCGGGGCAGGGGGAGGAGCCAGAGCGGAGUGAUUGCUCCAUUUGAGCUUUCUGGACUCCUCAACCGAGAUGGGGUGGGAUGGAAUGGCCCGCGGCGACCCCUGGGCUGCAGAAGAAAGGGGGCGGAGGCCUUAGAGUACAAAAUCUUCGGAGAUCCUUUUUUUUCCCAUGGGAAGAAUUCUGUGGGGGAAAAUGUGUUAGGAGUUCACUGAAAGGGCUGCUAAUGAUUCUAUGGGAACUCAUUGUCUAAUUUGGCUUUUAAGGGUGACCCAGACGACAGAUCGCGGGGCCUGGAAAUAAAUUCAAUUCCGGCCUCUGACACUAAGCUGUAUGACCCUGGGUAAGUCACUUCACUCCUGUCGUCUCAGGUUCUUCGACUGUAAAAUGGUAUAAUAGCACCAGUAGCUCCCAGGGCUGAUGUGAGAAUGAAAACACGCCCAUAUUUGCAAAGCUAAGUGUUAUUAUUACAUAUAAGCACUAUUAGUAUUAUUACAGACAAUCAUAAAAGACUUGUGCGUCUUGUAAACGGUGCGGAGCUAACUCACCCAAAUGAGACCAGGAAAGCUAAGGACAGACUAAGGUUUUAUUUAAUUCUUUAUUUUUUUUUUAGUUUAGCAACAAUGGGGUAAGCACUUUCCCCCGCACCCCCAGUCCCUGUUCCAUCCCCGCCUCUCAGGAACAAAUUACUUUGUAUUGGCUUUAAUUGUAUUUAGUACUUACUUAUCUAUCACAUCUUCUUCCUCCCCCCAGGAUAUUGGCUCCUUGGAGCCUGGGGCUUGCAUUUCUGAGUCAGACAACAGCAACUUGGUACAUAUGGGGGGGACUUGUUCAACUGCUGGUUUACAAUUUUGAUUGGUUUAAAAUUUUUUAUUAUAAGAUAUUUUAUUUUCCCAAUUACUUGUAAUAACAAAUUUCCCACAUAAGUUUUCUGAAGUUGUAUGAUCCAAAAUUGUCUCCCUCCUUCCCUUCUCUCCCACAUCUCAGAGCAGACAAAUAAUUCAAACUGGGCUAUCCGUGUGUUAUCAUGCAAAACCUAUUUCCAUAUUGUUCAUUCUUUUAAGAGAACAAUCGUAUAAAGCCAAAACCCCAAAGUAAAACCCAGAUAAACUAAUGUGACAGAUAGUAUACUUUGGUCUGCAUCUGACUCCCACAGUUCUUUUCUCUGGUGGUGGAGAGCAUUCUUUGCCACAAGUCUCUCAGAAUUGUCCUGGAUCAUUGUACUGCGGAGUUGAUCAUUCCACAGUAUUGCAGUUUGUGUACGAAGUUCUUCUGGUUCUGCUUAUUUCACUCUGCAUCAGUUCAUGGAGGUCUUUCCAGCUCUCUCUGGAAUCAUCCUGUUCAUCAUCCUUAUAGCACAAUAGUAUUCCAUCACUAUCAUAUACCACAAUUUGUUUAGCCAGUCCCCAAUUGAGGGACAUCCUUUUCAUUUCCAACUCUUUGCCACCACAAAAAGGGCAACUUUAAAUAUUUUUGUAUAAUUUUUCCUUAAAAAAAAUCUCUUUGGAAUACAGACCCAAUAGCGGUAUUACCAGAUCAAAGGGGAUGCAUACAAUUUGGAUUGUGAAAGCUGAAGAAUGACCAGUGCUGGGGGAGCAUGAGACGAGUAUGAUGGAGGGCCCCAAAUGUUAUUCUCAUAUAUUCUUUUUUGUUCCUCUAAGAAAAUUAAGUCUUUGGGCUGAAAAGAACAAAACAAAAAUGUCUGGUAGGGAGCGGAAACCCAAGAAUCAAAAGGGACCUAUUCAGAGUGGCCUUGGCUUCCCUUGGCAUCUCCACACUCCAGGGAUUUGAAAGAAUUAGUUGAUGAGAUAGCUAAACCACUUUUGGAAGACCCUGGAGAAUUACUGACAACCUGCAGAAGGGUAACUGUCCAAACCUCUCACCCCCAAAUUAAGGUUUUCAAAGCACUUUACAAACAACUUAUUGGAAGAGGAUAAAAUGUAAGGUGUCAAAUGAUUCUUUCAACAAUCCUGGGAGGUAUUAUUAUGCUCAUUUUGAGGAGAAGCUCAGUGGAGUUGAGGAAAUUGAGCCCAGAAAAAGUUAAGUGACUUGGCCAGGGUCACACAGAUACUAAAUAUCUAAGGCCAGCUUUAAGUCCAGACCUUCCUGUUUGCAAACUCCAUACUCAAUCCACUGGACCACCUAGCCACUUAUUAGAUGCCUGGCAUAUAGUAGGGACCUUAUAAAGUAUUCCCUUCUCAUUUCCUUCCCUUGUGAUCAAGGAGAGUUGCAAAAAUAAGUAAAACCAUGUAUCACUAAAAUUUCAGUUUUGGAAAAUAGUUACUUUUCAUAAAUGAUAACUUGCAUUCACAUGUAAUGGAUUUAUUAUUGCUAUUUUA